This is a long non-coding RNA of Gigantopelta aegis, 267 nucleotides long. RefSeq lists it as uncharacterized. The transcript has 3 exons. The record is from RefSeq and is a predicted model, not a curated record. Lineage: Eukaryota; Metazoa; Mollusca; Gastropoda; Neomphalida; Peltospiridae.
AAGCGAAACCAGCCUGCGAGCUGCAAUUCUGACUGGAUACGACACCGAUAUUCGCCCGUAUGCAACAACGUCGGUGACAACAAUACUGGGUCUGAUGUCUUUAAACACGCUAGACAUGGGUGAACAGAAGAUGUCACUAACAGCGUUCUGGUUCACGUCGUGGAAUGAUAGCCGUCUCGGGUGGAACCCAGCAUCUUACGGUGGCAUCACUCAGCUUGUUAUAAACCAAGACAAGAUUUGGAAGCCACCACUAAUUGUGAAAAAUGA